AAUUGAAUUUUUACAUAAUGGGACUCAAAAUAGGAGUUAAAUUGUUAUAUUAAUUUAUAUUAUAAUAAAUAAAACUGAAAAUAUUAAAGUUGCACUAAUGUGUAAAAAUGAAAAGACUACAAAUCAACUUAAUGGCCCAGCCAAAUAUAUAAAGCCCAUUAUUUACUUGAUGAUAAGUCCUUUAAUAGACUUAUCUUUCAGCACAUUUUUUACAUAAAAAAAUCCGACGCGGGAUUCCUUUCAUGUUUUUAUAGUCAAAGUAUUGGAGCUUUAGUAAUGGAUUCCUUUUAUUUCAAUUUGAAAAACUUCAAUCACAAUAGAGAAGGAAGGUCUACAAAUAAUGUAGUUAUGUUUUUUUCUCAAUUAUUCAAGUAUUUACUUUUCAAAAUGAAUAAGAAACAUAUGUGUUGCAAGGACCUUCCUUCUUUAUUAUUUCUUAUUCAUUUUGAAAAGUAAAUUGAAGCUUUUGUAUAGCGUGUCUGAUACUUACACCGUUUUUUGUAGCGUGGAGCUUUCUAUUCACAAGAUGCAUAGUUUGCUAUCUCAUAUCCCCGCUAUAGAAGCUUCAAUUGAUUAUUCGGACUAUGAAAUGUGGAAUGAUUCAGAUUAGUUCGGGUCGAUUGGAGCAGUGGAGAAUUGAUGAUGCGGGCUGCCAAGUGAAUAAAGAAUAGA
Molecule: long non-coding RNA, 672 nt
Organism: Olea europaea var. sylvestris
Lineage: Eukaryota; Viridiplantae; Streptophyta; Magnoliopsida; Lamiales; Oleaceae
Exons: 2
Source: RefSeq, a predicted model, not a curated record